UGCUUAAUUGUCUUUCUGACUGCUGAAAGCAACAUGAAAAAUGCAUUUCACAGGCUUGGAAAGCU
Small nucleolar RNA from Pteronotus mesoamericanus, 65 nucleotides. RefSeq annotates it as small nucleolar RNA SNORD102. The record is from RefSeq and is a predicted model, not a curated record. The transcript has a single exon. NCBI's taxonomy places the organism in Eukaryota, Metazoa, Chordata, Mammalia, Chiroptera, Mormoopidae.